GCCCCAGGGACAGGUCUGGCUCUGCACGGGAUGUCCCUCUGAGUGAGAAAUCCUGCGUUGUUGUGCUUUGGGAACGGUUCUUUCCACAUGGGCAAACGUGGGGCGGGGAUGGAAGGAACCCAACCAAUGUGGUGAUGAGUAGGCCCUAAAUUGGCAUGAAACAGCCACCAGCCUUCAAAUGAAAAGGCCGGCUAUUCUGACCAACAGGGCCCCUCCACCUGCCCACGGGACAGGAACCAGUCCAGGAGCACCACUGAUGAGUUCUACCUGAGAAGUCUGCUCCCUGGACAACUGAAGCCACCCAGCAUCCACUCCCCGUGUGCCCCUGGGGCAAACAACAGCCAGCAAGCAAUCCUGUGAGCUGUCCCACAAACCAACCACUGGUGCCUACACUGGACAGCAGAGGCUGCUGGCAGCAACGUGUUCCCUUCCUCCAAGCUCAGCUUGGAGUCAGAGAGACCUCAUCUUCAGGAGAUAAGAGCACUGCAGCGUGCCUACUUCCAGCCCAGAAGUCUAGGAAGGAACCCAGGGAAGAAGCUUUAUCAUGGCUCUUCAAGGAUGGCUGCUCUCCUGCUAGCAGCCGCAGCAGUCCCUGCCCAGCC
This 602-nucleotide long non-coding RNA is filed under the name Gallus gallus (chicken). Its description in RNAcentral is "lncRNA (ENSGALG00010007264.1)". The record is from RNAcentral. Lineage: Eukaryota; Metazoa; Chordata; Aves; Galliformes; Phasianidae.